This 468-nucleotide ribosomal RNA is filed under the name uncultured bacterium. RNAcentral describes it as "partial 16S ribosomal RNA". It matches the Rfam family "Bacterial small subunit ribosomal RNA", at positions 28 to 507 of the family's 1533-position model. The record is from RNAcentral.
GAUGAACGCUGGCGGCGUGCUUAACACAUGCAAGUCGAACGGUGAAGGCGGAGCUUGCUCUGCUGGAUCAGUGGCGAACGGGUGAGUAGCACGUGAGCAAUCUGCCCCUGACUCUGGGAUAAGCGCUGGAAACGGCGUCUAAUACUGGAUACGAGCUGCGAAGGCAUCUUCAGCAGCUGGAAAGAAUUUCGGUCAGGGAUGAGCUCGCGGCCUAUCAGCUUGUUGGUGAGGUAAUGGCUCACCAAGGCGUCGACGGGUAGCCGGCCUGAGAGGGUGACCGGCCACACUGGGACUGAGACACGGCCCAGACUCCUACGGGAGGCAGCAGUGGGGAAUGUUGCACAAUGGGCGAAAGCCUGAUGCAGCAACGCCGCGUGAGGGACGACGGCCUUCGGGUUGUAAACCUCUUUUAGCAGGGAAGAAGCGAAAGUGACGGUACCUGCAGAAAAAGCGCCGGCUAACUACGUG